This 461-nucleotide ribosomal RNA is filed under the name uncultured bacterium. RNAcentral describes it as "bacterial SSU rRNA". It matches the Rfam family "Bacterial small subunit ribosomal RNA", at positions 355 to 829 of the family's 1533-position model. The record is from RNAcentral.
UGGGGAAUCUUGGACAAUGGGGGCAACCCUGAUCCAGCCAUGCCGCGUGAGUGAUGAAGGCCUUAGGGUCGUAAAGCUCUUUCGCCUGUGAAGAUAAUGACGGUAGCAGGUAAAGAAACCCCGGCUAACUCCGUGCCAGCAGCCGCGGUAAUACGGAGGGGGUUAGCGUUGUUCGGAAUUACUGGGCGUAAAGCGCACGUAGGCGGACCAGAAAGUUGGGGGUGAAAUCCCGGGGGCUCAACCCCCGGGAACUGCCUCCAAAACUAUUGGUCUAGAGUUCGAGAGAGGUGAGUGGAAUUCCAAGUGUAGAGGUGAAAUUCGUAGAUAUUUGGAGGAACACCAGUGGCGAAGGCGGCUCACUGGCUCGAUACUGACGCUGAGGUGCGAAAGUGUGGGGAGCAAACAGGAUUAGAUACCCUGGUAGUCCACACCGUAAAACGAUGAAUGCCAGUCGUCGGGUA